AAAGCAGGCCAGGCAGCCGCGGCUUUCGCGGUUUUGCCGCGAAGGGCGAGGAAAGUCCGGACUCCAAUAGGGCAGGGUGAUGGCUAACGGCCAUCCGUGGCGACACGCGGAACAGGGCAACAGAAAGCAAACCGCCGAUGGCCCGGCGCAAGCCGGGAUCAGGUAAGGGUGAAACGGUGCGGUAAGAGCGCACCGCGGCUGCGGCGACGCAGACCGGCACGGUAACCUCCACCCGGAGCAAUUCCAAGUAGGCAGGCGCGCAUUUUCGGAUGCAGGACGGUGCCCCCGUCUCGUCUGCGGGUAGGAAGCUUGAGCGCGUCAGCAAUGGCGCGCCUAGAGGAAUGGCUGCCACGGAUCGCGCGCUUUCGAGCGAGCGGUCUGCACAAAAUCCGGCUUAUCGGCCCGCUUUGCCA
RNAcentral lists this RNase P RNA (413 nucleotides) under Burkholderia sp. TSV86. RNAcentral describes it as "bacterial RNase P". It matches the Rfam family "Bacterial RNase P class A". From Rfam's summary of the family: Ribonuclease P (RNase P) is a ubiquitous endoribonuclease, found in archaea, bacteria and eukarya as well as chloroplasts and mitochondria. Its best characterised activity is the generation of mature 5'-ends of tRNAs by cleaving the 5'-leader elements of precursor-tRNAs. Cellular RNase Ps are ribonucleoproteins. The record is from RNAcentral. Lineage: Bacteria; Pseudomonadati; Pseudomonadota; Betaproteobacteria; Burkholderiales; Burkholderiaceae.